AGCGAACGCUGGCGGCAGGCCUAACACAUGCAAGUCGAACGAACCUUUCGGGGUUAGUGGCGGACGGGUGAGUAACACGUGGGAACGUGCCUUUAGGUUCGGAAUAACUCAGGGAAACUUGUGCUAAUACCGAAUGUGCCCUUCGGGGGAAAGAUUUAUCGCCUUUAGAGCGGCCCGCGUCUGAUUAGCUAGUUGGUUGAGGUAAUGGCUCACCAAGGCGACGAUCAGUAGCUGGUCUGAGAGGAUGAUCAGCCACAUUGGGACUGAGACACGGCCCAAACUCCUACGCGAGGCAGCAGUGGGGAAUCUUGCGCAAUGGGCGAAAGCCUGACGCAGCCAUGCCGCGUGAAUGAUGAAGGUCUUAGGAUUGUAAAAUUCUUUCACCGGGGACGAUAAUGACGGUACCCGGAGAAGAAGCCCCGGCUAACUUCGUG
This 434-nucleotide ribosomal RNA is filed under the name uncultured bacterium. Its description in RNAcentral is "partial 16S ribosomal RNA". It matches the Rfam family "Bacterial small subunit ribosomal RNA", at positions 29 to 507 of the family's 1533-position model. The record is from RNAcentral.